AGUCAAAGUGCCUGCCGACCCGAAUCACCUGAAAUAUAUAUUUAUCUACAUUUAUGUAACGCCCUGUCCACCUGAUGAUGUAAUACACCGUCCCUUCUCCCCAUUAGCCUUGGAAGCUGACCUUAAAGCUCUGAUAUCAUGUGUGUGUUGAUGUGGUUUGAAAACACACACGCCUGGUGUCUCUAACCUUUGUCUUGUCACUUGUUCGCCCCCAUAUGACUCUUUUUACAGAUUGUCAGACGCUUGUUCACCACACAUCGCCACUCACCCUUUAACUAAAAAAAGAGGGAUUGUGGGGAAUCUUUUAUGUCAGUUAUUGCAGUAGUUCUGCCCGGAUGAGGAGGUACCGACACAAGGUCGAUUCUCACUGCUGAAUCGGUUCGCCGAAGGUUAGCACAGCAUAGAUCAUUUGGACUUGAGGAUAUCAAGGCAACACCAGCCGAAAACCAAACGAUGAAAACAGUCAAAAAGCUAGAUUUCUAAUUGUAUUCCCCCCAUUGCUGUCUCAUUUAAGCUAUGCAAUAUGACAUGGAUGGGAAUCAAGCUAAACUUCACUUAUUUAAUUGCUGCUGCAAGAAGCCAGGAUUUCUAAGUACAAGGCUCACACUUUCCGUGGGAAAUUUAUGAGUGACUUCAAUAUUAUAAUUACCCCUCAAUUUAAAGGCAAAGGAAAACAGGUUGUUUCUCAAUGUAAUGACAACUAUUUUUUCUACUUUAAUGUUGGAUUUUAGUUUUUAUUAUUUGUAUUAUUCAGUGCACUUUCAUUAUAUAGGAAAAUGUCAUACUAUUAUUAACCAGAGAAAUUCGUAGUGGAGUGGUUUGAGUUUUUUCCCAUAUCUACACAUAGUAGGCUAUAUAUAGGAUCAUAGGCCUAUGUGACUUCUACGUUGUGAUGAGCAAACGCCUCUUGCAUAUGGGAAGGCGCCACAAACCACAACCUACUAAUUGACUUUGUCUGUGAGAAUUGUAACCAUCUAAAACGUUUAUUUUUUCCUUGGUUAUAUAUUUACACUGUCCGUUAGCCUUUAUGUUUGUUCUACUAUGAUCUCUGAUAGAAAAAGUCCAGGGUGAUCAAAUUCUGGGGUUUUUCGUGUAUUUAUUAUUCCUAGGAAUAGUUCGAAAAAUUGCGCUGAAACUUGACAACGCUCUUGAUUCAAAAGAAGGUGAGUUGUGUUUAAGGAAAAAAAAACUGUGUGACAAAAACACGCUUUUUUCCCAGCUUCUUACCGAAGGGCGUUCCACUGAACGUGGAUCACUGACCAACAGAAUUCCCUACAAGUGCAUCGAUUAAAAUUCCAAAUUGGAAUUGUUCCAUUCUCCCUUUGCUUAUCGUGCCAAAUCAUGGUACACCGUUUAGGUUGAACAGAAUCAAGAAUAUGAAAAGGGACAUUUUUUGUCAUUGGGAAAGGCUUAGUUUGGACCACGGCUCUCGCGAGGGACGUGAUACGGUUUUCUGAUUUGUUUAGUUUCUUGUUUCCAACCAGUAGUGCCUUUCAUUGUUUCAAGGGAGAAUCUUAGACUAGGAUUUUAUGUUUAUUUUUAAAGGGUUGGGUUCAAAGUAACUGUGAGCAGCAAUAAAUGCGAAGGGUCGACCCCUAUCUGCAAGAACGAAAAACAGUUUAAAUUGGCUCGAUAAAAAUAAAUUAAUUGUAGGGAAUCAUGUGGGUCAGUCGGCCAUACAAUACAUUCAGGGGUAUAUUGAGAAAAAAAAUAGUUAUGUUUUAUUUUGAUUGGUUUUCUCACACUUUGGGAACCCAAAUAAAUCCCAAUGAACAACACCCUCCAUGCAUCUGAUAUGUAUGUGUUUGGCUAUUGGAAACAUCUCUAACUCUAGCUAUGUAUGGUGAAGGUAAUGUGAUAUCAAUAGUAUUGUGGAGGAAAAUGUGAGAGCGCAUUUUUUCAUUCCGUCGUUCAUUAUGGUGGUAUUUUUUUAUUAUUAUUGAUCUUUUUUAUAUCAUCUUUAAGCAUUAAUGUUUUCAGGAAACAGAAAACUAAAUUAGCAUCAACAAGCUUGAACCGUGCCAUUAUAGCCAAAGCUCGCUUGUUGAGGCGUUAAAAGUUGAAAUAUGGAAAAAGAAACGUAAAAAGAUAAAGUGCAAUUCUGAUACUGUUUUACAUUUUGAAAGACCUCAAAGUUUUCUGUUUGCUGGAAGCACUAGCAUUGUGAUAAUACAUUAGCUGUGCAAACUUUAUAUUGUCAUAUUGUGUUCAGUAUUGCUCCAUAAUUGAGAGUUUGAUACCUUUUUAUAUGAAAUAACGACUUCACCUGUAUUUAUUUGAAUUGUCAUGCAGUACUGUAUUCUUAUCAAUAAUGUGCGUUAUGAUUAGUGACAUAAUGAUUACAGCUAAAUGUCAUUUGCAUGUUUUUUUCAGUUAUGGGACCUUUACACAGAAUUGUAAAACAGACGUAUAACUUUGUAAUGGGUGAGAAGAAAAAUAGAAUUGAAAAGGAAAAAAAGACAAGUCUUUUGUCUCGUAUGUAUUACUGCUGAAAUACCGCUAUGAAAAGUGUUGUUUGUUUUCCAGGAGAGAUAUGGUUUGUGUAAGGGGUAGUCAUACUGGUUAAGAA
Gadus morhua (Atlantic cod) is the source of this 2569-nucleotide long non-coding RNA. RefSeq lists it as uncharacterized. The record is from RefSeq and is a predicted model, not a curated record. Lineage: Eukaryota; Metazoa; Chordata; Actinopteri; Gadiformes; Gadidae. The transcript is spliced from 2 exons.